This 466-nucleotide ribosomal RNA is filed under the name uncultured bacterium. RNAcentral describes it as "bacterial SSU rRNA". It matches the Rfam family "Bacterial small subunit ribosomal RNA", at positions 28 to 507 of the family's 1533-position model. The record is from RNAcentral.
GACGAACGCUGGCGGCGCGCCUAACACAUGCAAGUCGAACGGAGCUUAGAGAGCUUGCUUUUUAAGCUUAGUGGCGAACGGGUGAGUAACGCGUGAGUAACCUGCCCUAGAGUGGGGGACAACAGUUGGAAACGACUGCUAAUACCGCAUAAGCCCACGGUACCGCAUGGCACUGAGGGAAAAGGAUUUAUUCGCUUUAGGAUGGACUCGCGUCCAAUUAGCUAGUUGGUGAGGUAACGGCCCACCAAGGCGACGAUCAGUAGCCGACCUGAGAGGGUGACCGGCCACAUUGGGACUGAGACACGGCCCAAACUCCUACGGGAGGCAGCAGUGGGAAUAUUGCACAAUGGGGGAAACCCUGAUGCAGCGACGCCGCGUGAGCGAAGAAGUAUUCGGUAUGUAAACUUCUUUUAAGUGGGAAGAGUAGAAGACGGUACCACUUGAAUAAGCCACGGCUAACUACGUG